RNAcentral lists this ribosomal RNA (115 nucleotides) under Vigna angularis (adzuki bean). The record is from RNAcentral. Lineage: Eukaryota; Viridiplantae; Streptophyta; Magnoliopsida; Fabales; Fabaceae.
AAGUGCGAUCAUACCAGUACUAAUGCAUCGGAUCCCAUCAGAACUCCGCAGAUAAGCGUGCUUGGGCGAGAGUAGUACUAGGAUGGGUGACCUCCUGGGAAGUCCUCGUGUUGCA